AUGAAGAAAUGGUAGGGUUGAUGCUGGCUCUUCGGAGUAUGUGCUCGCCUUAUCGCUUUUUCUACUUCUCCACCUGUGCACCUAUUGUAGAUCGUGUUGGAAAUCCUUUGUGGUUUCUCGUUCACUUUGAACGGUUCAGAUGUCUUGCUUUCUUGGCUAGACUUCGACUCUUCACGAUCUAUGUUAUAUCAAACUCUUAAAGUCUUUGAAUGUACUAGUUGGUCUUCAUUGACCGAUAAUUUAAAACAACUUUCAGCAACGGAUCUCUUGGCUCUCGCAUCGAUGAAGAACGCAGCGAAAUGCGAUAAGUAAUGUGAAUUGCAGAAUUCAGUGAAUCAUCGAAUCUUUGAACGCACCUUGCACUCCUUGGUAUUCCGAGGAGUAUGCCUGUUUGAGUGUCAUUAAAUUCUCAAGCUUCAACCUUGUUGUAAUGACUUGGAUUGUUGUUUGGACUUGAGGGUUGCUGCGAGUCUUUUGACUUUUGAACCGGCUCCCUUUAAAUGCAUUAGUGGUGACUUGGACCCACUAUCAAAUGUGUUGAUAAUUAUCUACACUUUGAAGUGACCGAAUGUCUUUCCGCUUCUAACCGUCUUUCGAGACAAUAUCUUGAAA
This 612-nucleotide small RNA is filed under the name uncultured Agaricales. Its description in RNAcentral is "eukaryotic LSU rRNA". The stretch from base 248 to 401 matches the Rfam family "5.8S ribosomal RNA". Lineage: Eukaryota; Fungi; Basidiomycota; Agaricomycetes; Agaricales. The record is from RNAcentral.